RNAcentral lists this ribosomal RNA (460 nucleotides) under uncultured bacterium. RNAcentral's name for it is "partial 16S ribosomal RNA". It matches the Rfam family "Bacterial small subunit ribosomal RNA", at positions 338 to 795 of the family's 1533-position model. The record is from RNAcentral.
CCUACGGGAGGCAGCAGUGAGGAAUAUUGGUCAAUGGCCGGAAGGCUGAACCAGCCAUGCCGCGUGAAGGUCAGUGCCCUAUGGGCGUUAAACUUCUUUUGUGCGGGAGCAAUAAUGGUCACGUGUGGCCAGACGAGAGUACCGUACGAAUAAGCAUCGGCUAACUCCGUGCCAGCAGCCGCGGUAAUACGGGGGGUGCAAGCGGUAUCCGGAGUUAUUGGGUUUAAAGGGUGCGUAGGCUGUGAGGUAAGUCAGCGGGGAAAUGCCCCCGCUCAACGGGGUGAAGUGCCAUUGAUACUGGCUUGCUGGAAUGCGGGUGCCGUGGGAGGAAUGUGGGGUGUAGCGGUGAAAUGCAUAGAUAUCACACAGAACACCGAUUGCGAAGGCAUCUCACGAAUCCGCGAUUGACGCUGAUGCACGAAAGCGUGGGUAUCAAACAGGAUUAGAUACCCCGGUAGUC